GAAACAGUUGCUAAGACUGGAUAGGAAAUUAGAAGGCAUCUUUUAAUUUUUAAAAGACCUUUUUCGAAAGGUAUACUUAAAGAGGGGCUUGCGGCACAUUAGUUAGUUGGUAGGGUAAAAGCCUACCAAGACCAUGAUGUGUAGCUGGACUGAGAGGUUGAACAGCCACAUUGGGACUGAGACACGGCCCAAACUCCUACGGGAGGCAGCAGUAGGGAAUUUUCGGCAAUGGAGGAAACUCUGACCGAGCAACGCCGCGUGAACGAUGAAGUAUUUCGGUAUGUAAAGUUCUUUUAUUGAAGAAGAAAAAAUAGUGGAAAAACUAUCUUGACGAUAUUCAAUGAAUAAGCCCCGGCAAACUAUGUGCCAGCAGCCGCGGUAAUACAUAGGGGGCGAGCGUUAUCCGGAAUUAUUGGGCGUAAAGGGUGCGUAGGCGGUUUGGUAAGUCUAUAGUUUAAUUUCAGUGCUUAACACUGUUCUGCUAUAGAAACUAUCAGACUAGAGUGAGAUAGAGGCAAGUGGAAUUCCAUGUGUAGCGGUAAAAUGCGUAAAUAUAUGGAGGAACACCAGAGGCGUAGGCGGCUUGCUGGGUCUUUACUGACGCUGAGGCACGAAAGCGUGGGGAGCAAACAGGAUUAGAUACCCUGGUAGUCCACGCCGUAAACGAUGAGUACUAAGUGUCGGGGAAACUCGGUACUGAAGUUAACACAUUAAGUACUCCGCCUGAGUAGUACGUACGCAAGUAUGAAACUUAAAGGAAUUGACGGGACUCCGCACAAGCGGUGGAUCAUGUUGUUUAAUUCGAAGAUACACGAAAAACCUUACCAGGUCUUGACAUACUCUGCAAAGCUAUAGCAAUAUAGUGGAGGUUAUCAGGGAUACAGGUGGUGCAUGGUUGUCGUCAGCUCGUGUCGUGAGAUGUUAGGUUAAGUCCUAAAACGAGCGCAACCCUUGUCACUAGUUGCCAGCAUGUUAUGAUGGGCACUUUAGUGAGACUGCCAAUGAAAAAUUGGAGGAAGGUGAGGAUCACGUCAAAUCAUCAUGCCCCUUAUGAUCUGGGCUACAAACGUGAUACAAUGGCUGUUACAAAGAGUAGCUAAAACGCGAGKUUAUAGCCAAUCUCAUAAAAGCAGUCUCAGUUCGGAUUGAAGUCUGCAACUCGACUUCAUGAAGUUGGAAUCGCUAGUAAUCGCGAAUCAGCAUGUCGCGGUGAAUACGUUCUCGGGGUUUGUACACACCGCCCGUCA
Molecule: ribosomal RNA, 1247 nt
Filed under: 'Triticum aestivum' phytoplasma
Lineage: Bacteria; Bacillati; Mycoplasmatota; Mollicutes; Acholeplasmatales; Acholeplasmataceae
Also listed under: 1 other name
Description: bacterial SSU rRNA
Rfam family: Bacterial small subunit ribosomal RNA
Source: RNAcentral